RNAcentral lists this ribosomal RNA (448 nucleotides) under uncultured bacterium. Its description in RNAcentral is "bacterial SSU rRNA". It matches the Rfam family "Bacterial small subunit ribosomal RNA", at positions 328 to 792 of the family's 1533-position model. The record is from RNAcentral.
GGCCCAGACUCCUACGGGAGGCAGCAGUGGGGAAUAUUGCACAAUGGGGGGAACCCUGAUGCAGCGACGCCGCGUGGGUGAAGGAGUAUUUCGGUAUGUAAAGCCCUAUCAGCAGGGAAGAACAAUGACGGUACCUGACUAAGAAGCACCGGCUAAAUACGUGCCAGCAGCCGCGGUAAUACGUAUGGUGCAAGCGUUAUCCGGAUUUACUGGGUGUAAAGGGAGCGCAGGCGGCGCGUUAAGCCUGGUGUGAAAGCCCGCAGCUCAACUGCGGGACUGCUUUUGAAACUGUAUGACUAGAUUGCAGGAGAGGUAAGUGGAAUUCCUAGUGUAGCGGUGAAAUGCGUAGAUAUUAGGAGGAACACCAGUGGCGAAGGCGGCUUACUGGACUGUAAAUGACGCUGAGGCUCGAAAGCGUGGGGAGCAAACAGGAUUAGAUACCCCGGUA